Molecule: ribosomal RNA, 399 nt
Filed under: uncultured bacterium
Lineage: Bacteria
Description: bacterial SSU rRNA
Rfam family: Bacterial small subunit ribosomal RNA
Source: RNAcentral
UUAUCCGGAUUUAUUGGGCGUAAAGCGUGCGUAGGCGGUUUAUUAAGUCUAGAAUUAAAGUCCGAGGCUUAACCUCGGUUCGUUCUAGAUACUGGUUGACUAGAGUACAGUAGAGGCAAAUGGAAUUCCUAGUGUAGCGGUGGAAUGCGUAGAUAUUAGGAGGAACACCAGUGGCGAAGGCGAUUUGCUGGGCUGUAACUGACGCUGAGGUACGAAAGCGUGGGUAGCAAAUAGGAUUAGAUACCCUAGUAGUCCACGCUGUAAACGAUGAGCACUAAGUGUCGGGUUACCGGUGCUGAAGUUAACACAUUAAGUGCUCCGCCUGAGUAGUACGGUCGCAAGACUGAAACUCAAAGGAAUUGACGGGCACCCGCACAAGCGGUGGAGCAUGUUGUUUAA